Molecule: ribosomal RNA, 260 nt
Filed under: uncultured bacterium
Lineage: Bacteria
Description: partial 16S ribosomal RNA
Rfam family: Bacterial small subunit ribosomal RNA
Source: RNAcentral
UACAGAGGUCUCAAGCGUUGUUCGGAAUCACUGGGCGUAAAGGGCGCGUAGGUGGCCUGCUAAGCGUGCGGUGAAAGUCGGGGGCUCAACCCCCGAUCGGCCGUGCGAACUGGGAGGCUUGAGCACUGUAGAGGCAGGCGGAAUUCCGGGUGUAGCGGUGGAAUGCGUAGAGAUCCGGAAGGAAGCACCGGUGGCGAAGGCGGCCUGCUGGGCAGUUUGGCUGACAGCUGAGGCGCGACGAGCGUGGGGAGCAAAGCAGG